GUAGGUGUGUUAAAAGCACACUCCUUUAUGCGUACAAGGUGGUAAGCAUUACGAAGGUCCAACUUGGUUAAAACCUUGGCUCCACUAAGCAGUUUGAAAGCUGAGGAGAUGAGUGGAAGGGGGUACCUGUUGCGAAUGGUGAUGCCAUGUUAUCUGUAGUCAAUGCAAGGCCAAAGAGAUUUGUCCUUCUUCUCCACAAAGAAAAACCAUGCUCCAGCUGGAGAUGAAGAAAGACGGAUGAUGCCAGCUGUCGAUGGCUCUUCCACUUAGUCAGUCAUGGCCUUCAUCUCUGGACCUGAAGGAGAGUAAAGCCGCCCCCUAGGCGGCAAGGUGCCUGGGAGCAAGUCUAUGGCAUAGUCAUAGGGCCUGUUAGGGGGAAGAGACUUGGCUCUGGGCUUGCUGAAUACUUCUUUCAAUUCACAAUAACAGGAGGGAACACGAGAAAGAUCAGGAUAAUCAACUUUACUGUCAUCAGCAUCAGAGACAUUAGCAGAAGCUCUCUUAUUCACACAAGAUGCAAAUGACUGACAGACGUUGCGACUACAAGCCUCUCCCCAGGCUAAGAUCUCACCAGUAGACCAGUCUGUGUGGGUUGUGCAAUUUUAACCAGGGGUGUCCCAGUAUUAGCUGAUGUUGAGAUACCUCAAAUACAUGGAAACUAAUCUUCUCAAAGUGGCUGUCAGGGAAAGAGAGGGUUAAAGUUUGUGUCCUGUGAGCAACCCUCCCCAUUGAGUGUCCAUCAACAGCCUUGACAUCCAGUUGUUUGGACAGCUGGAACAUCCUCAGCCCCAGCUCUGACCUUAACUGAUGAUCCACUGCCUUGAAGAUGACAUUGGACCAACAGAUGUCCUAACUGACCACAGUAGAUGCAGCGCCCCUCUCAGCUACUCACAGGAGAGAGUCUGGUCCUGCCAACUUGCAUGGACUCCUCCAAAGAAGCGGGAGACACAGGAAUCACACUAACAGGAGGCCUCUGCCAGGAGCCCAGGAGAUUUGGGGGUCAUCUGCUGGUAAGAGGGGUAGAGCGCUCUCUGGUGCGCUCUCUCUCUCGCUCAAACAGCCGCUUGUCAAUUUUAAUGGCUAGGGCACAAAUAGAGUCCAAGUCAUCAGGGGGAUCUAAAGGUACCAGAUCCUCCAGGAAGUCGUCAAAAUGGGUAGAGGGGUUCCAGUCACUUUCAGCGGCAAGAGUGCGGAAGUUGAUGGCGUAUUCAGACACUCUUCUUCUACCUUGUCUCAGUCUCACUAGAGCCUGAGCAGUCUCUCGCCCUGGGGAGACGUGUUGAAACACUUGCUUGAAUGUCCUGGUGAAGGCUGCCAAAGAGCUGCAUGUAGGUGAGUCUCUUCUCCACUUAGCUGUAUCCCACGCCUCAGCCUGGCCCGAGAGAUGAGAAAUAAUGUAGGCAAUCUUGGCUUGAUCUGAUGGAAAGACAUGGCGCUGCAACUUGAAGUGGAGAUUACACUGAGUCAGGAAAGGUCAGCUGUCCCCUGAGUCCCCGGAGAAUCGCUCAGGUCAUGAAAGUUGGUCAUCAGGGUCUAUUGUUGCUCAGACAACUCUCUUAGGUGAUGAUGGAGAGCACUGAUCUGAUCAUCCUGAUGAGCCAUUCUGUGCCCCUGCUCUCCGAUGGCGUUGCGCACUGGGUCAGAGUCCACUGGGUCCAUAGCUAACCAGUUCGUACUCUAACAACAUACCUGGAUUUGGACCCAAAGGCUGGAGUUAGGAGCCAGAUUAAAGUUCAAAGUACUGUAGGUUUUAAUCAAGUAAAGGGUUCUGUACACAGGAAGGCAGAGGUAUCCAAAUUGACAGGCAAAAAUCAGUCCAAAAACACUAAGUCAAAAACAGGAAGGCAAACACUAGGAAAAUGUUUCAAAAUAAAACAGGAAGUACACAACAAGAAACAUGAGGUAGGGUAAAUAAAUUAACUUAACUAAACCAUAGACAUGACAAUGCUUAAUAGGCUACUAAUCUUCAAUUGCUUUUCCAUUUACCAAAAUAUGCAUCCACCUGUUUAUGAGCUACUGAGACAGUAACAAGUUGUAUUUUUGUAGAUAUUACACCAGGAAAGUCCACCCAUUCUUUGGGAUCUCAAACUAAUAACUUGGCAGAUGCAUUUCUCAGAAAUACUAUGUGUCUGCCAAAACAAAACGUGAAUCCAGUUAAGUUUCUGAUCCUUUUGUAAUUACACCAGUGAAACAUUUGGACUGAUAACACGUUUAAUCUCAUGG
Molecule: non-coding RNA, 2223 nt
Organism: Xyrichtys novacula (pearly razorfish)
Lineage: Eukaryota; Metazoa; Chordata; Actinopteri; Labriformes; Labridae
Source: the annotation of a GenBank genome assembly